UUUUUUUUUCUUUUUUCUUGCGGUUAAUAAGAACGUGCAGACGUUGUUGGAAAAAUUAACGUUGACUUUUAUACAGAUCAAAAUAUCGUCAUACUUAUUUUACUAUUGUUACAUCAUUUUAUUGCGAUUACUUGUAUAUAGUAUAUUUAGGUAUACAUUGCAGUCUACUUAUUGUAAUAUUGGAAUUUUACACCGAAGGAAAACUAUUUUUUUAGGUCUCUUAUUCAAAUUACAAGGUUGGAACAAAGAGUACAUUUUGAUAGAAAAUACAAACCUGACAGGUGAUCGUGGUCUUCUGUUUAAUUUUUCAGUGGCAGAGAGAAUAUCGUCGCUAGUCUUUUGGAAAUAUCGCGCUCUUGGUAUUUGUUUGUAUGGUAAAUACCUAAAAAUUCGAGUAGGAGAUAAAUAAAAAGCCCUUCUCGUCUUUAUUCAAAUAGAAAAUGUAUUUUGUAAUUAACGUUUAAAAAGUAUACGCGAACAAAAAUAGAGAGUAAAUAGGUAGAGCUGUCUGACCCAUUGCCUUCCUGUUCUACUACAUGUUAUCAAACAAGAAUACGUCUAAUUUAUUUAUCGACUAAAAAACUAUACAAGAAAGAAAUGAUUUUGAUAGUAACGAUAAUUCUAAUAAAUUUCAAUAGACUUCAAUAACUCGUAAUUGAUUCAUAAACGAUAAAUACAAACAUUAGUUAUAAUCGAUCUUCCGAUAGAUUUCGACAGAUUUUAGCAAACUUAAACAAGUUCAUAAGCUUGAUUAACCGAGUCAUGACUCGUUGACGUAUAUAAUUCAUAUUUUACAGUCAUUAGUCCUAUAAUUUCUUUGGUACCUCUCAAAAUAAUUUUAUUUUAUUUUCUACUCAAUCUGUUAUUUUGUGUACUUUAAAGCCUACGUGUCGUCUGUCUUUUUUCUUAAAUUCAGAAUUUCAAUCUUAAAUCUUGAAAAGCCGGUCCCACGACAAGAAAGCGCGAAUCACACGAAUCAACUUCUAUCAAGU
This 992-nucleotide unclassified non-coding RNA is filed under the name Bombus terrestris (buff-tailed bumblebee). RNAcentral's name for it is "misc RNA ENSBTSG00005027473.1". Lineage: Eukaryota; Metazoa; Arthropoda; Insecta; Hymenoptera; Apidae. The record is from RNAcentral.